GUGCCAGCAGCCGCGGUAAUACGUAGGUGGCGAGCGUUGUCCGGAAUUACUGGGCGUAAAGGAUGCGUAGGUGGAUAUUUAAGUGGGAUGUGAAAUCCCCGGGCUCAACCCGGGAACUGCAUUCCAAACUGGAUAUCUAGAGUGCAGGAGAGGAAAGCGGAAUUCCUGGUGUAGCGGUGAAAUGCGUAGAUAUUAGGAGGAACACCAGUGGCGAAGGCGGCUUUCUGGACUGUAACUGACACUGAGGCAUGAAAGCGUGGGUAGCAAACAGGAUUAGAUACCCUGGUAGUCC
RNAcentral lists this ribosomal RNA (292 nucleotides) under uncultured microorganism. RNAcentral's name for it is "partial 16S ribosomal RNA". It matches the Rfam family "Bacterial small subunit ribosomal RNA", at positions 505 to 796 of the family's 1533-position model. The record is from RNAcentral.